UGAAGAUUACAGCUACAAACCGACGACCGUACCUGUUCAGGCUGUUCUGCGAUGCUGAACCGAUCGAGGUUCUUGCGGCGUCAUCAGAAUCAGAUCAGACUCGAGGCUAUGAAGGAGUUGACGACGAUCUCCUCUCAGUGAGCCACCGCUGUCCGGGACUGCAGGGUGAUGCUCUUCUGGCUCGGGAUGGCGAGCAUGGCGGUGUGGUCCAGGAAGUCCUUGAGCUCGACGACGGACUGCAGCACCCGCCUGAGGUCGUCGGUGCGCAUGAACCCGGCGGCGCCGAGCCGGCGCACGGCGUAGACGUAGAUGGUGAGGCAGCCCUUGCGGAACUUGAAGCGCGCCAUCUCGCUGCCCGUGAGGCCGCGGAUGAGCCUCCUGUUGACGUCCCCGAGCGGGGUGACGGCGGGCCACAGGCGGUCCACGGCCGCCUUCAUGGCCUCGGACUCGAACACGAAGAGCGCCGCCUUGGACUUGUUGGUGCCCAGGCCCAGCGUCAGCGUGUGCCACGCCUGGUGCGCCAGGAUGGUGAAGCCCGUGGGCAUGUAGGCGGUGGUGGACGGGAACGGCAGGCUCUGGCACUCGCUCAGGUACGACGGCGGGAUGCCCAGCAGCCGCAGCAGCUCCAGGGGCGACGCCCGCCGCACCGUGAACGACUUCACGAUGAACUGGCCCCCGAACCGGAUGCCCUUCACGUCGCCGCACGGCUUGAAGUGCGCCGCCUGCUCCGUGCCGCCGCCCGGCUGCUUCUCCUUCUCCUUGUGCUUGUGCUUGUGCCUCUUCUUCUCCUCUGCCAUGGCGUGCUUGUGCUUUCGGCUGGAGUGAGCUGUGCGGCUGGGGGUGGUGGACUGGUGGUGCCCGGGGAAAAGGCGGUAAUGACGAGUCCCCCCUUCCUUGUGGCUGCUGCUGGUACCAUAUCACAGAGGUGUUUGUCAGAAUUGUGAAGGGCCAUCCGCUUGGGCAUCAAGGAAGAGCUUAGCUUUACUACCAUUUUUGUAAUCUGAUCCGGUUGGUGGGCCAG
This 1021-nucleotide unclassified non-coding RNA is filed under the name Zea mays. Its description in RNAcentral is "misc RNA Zm00001eb289650". Lineage: Eukaryota; Viridiplantae; Streptophyta; Magnoliopsida; Poales; Poaceae. The record is from RNAcentral.